This 462-nucleotide ribosomal RNA is filed under the name uncultured Desulfobulbus sp. RNAcentral describes it as "bacterial SSU rRNA". It matches the Rfam family "Bacterial small subunit ribosomal RNA", at positions 924 to 1382 of the family's 1533-position model. Lineage: Bacteria; Pseudomonadati; Thermodesulfobacteriota; Desulfobulbia; Desulfobulbales; Desulfobulbaceae. The record is from RNAcentral.
CACAGCGGUGGAGUAUGUGGUUUAAUCGAUGCAACGCGAAGAACCUUACCUGGUCUUGACAUCCCGGAGACCCUUAGGAAACUAGGGGGUGCUUCCAUCUGGAAGAAUCUGGAGACAGGUGCUGCAUGGCUGUCGUCAGCUCGUGUCGUGAGAUGUUGGGUUAAGUCCCGCAACGAGUGCAACCCUUGCCUUUAGUUGCCAGCAGUUCGGCUGGGCACUCUAAAGGGACUGCCGGUGUUAAACCGGAGGAAGGUGGGGAUGACGUCAAGUCCUCAUGGCCUUUAUGACCAGGGCUACACACGUACUACAAUGGCCGAUACAAAGGGCAGCGACACUGCGAGGUGAAGCCAAUCCCGUAAAAUCGGUCUCAGUCCGGAUUGGAGUCUGCAACUCGACUCCAUGAAGUUGGAAUCGCUAGUAAUCGUGGAUCAGCAUGCCACGGUGAAUACGUUCCCGGGCCUU